CUGAGUUAGGGUCUCUUCAGGCCCGACCUCCCAACCCUUGUGUCUACCUAACCUAUCGUUGCUUCGGUGGGACGGAUCUGUCCUCUGGGACGGACCCGCCGGAGGGGUGAACAACCGCCCCUUGGGAGAGCUUCCCACCGACGGCCCACAACAAACUCUUGUACCAAAAACCUGUCGUCUAAAGUUCUGAUAUUUGAAUCAAAAACA
Molecule: unclassified non-coding RNA, 207 nt
Filed under: uncultured fungus
Lineage: Eukaryota; Fungi
Description: sequence contains ITS1
Source: RNAcentral